Molecule: ribosomal RNA, 321 nt
Filed under: uncultured eukaryote
Lineage: Eukaryota
Description: partial 18S ribosomal RNA
Rfam family: Eukaryotic small subunit ribosomal RNA
Source: RNAcentral
CCCUUAGAUGUUCUGGGCCGCACGCGUGCUACACUGAGUGGAUCAGCGGGUCAGGUUGCGCGAAAGCGUUUCCUAAUCUUUAAAUCCGCUCGUGAUGGGGAUUGACGGUUGCAAUUUUCUGUCAUGAACGAGGAAUACCUUGUAAGCGCGGGCCAUCAUCCCGCGCUGAAUACGUCCCUGCCCUUUGUACACACCGCCCGUCGCUCCUACCGAUUGAACGUUUUAGUGAGGCAUUUGGACCGACGCAUCUCAGUUUAACCGCUGGUUUGUGUUGGAAAGACUUCCAAACUUGAGCGUUUAGAGGAAGUAAAAGUCGUAACA